UGAGAAGUGAAGGGAUGUGUUUUGUGGAUGGGAGUCUUGAGGAGUGGGAGCAUAGGAUAAGGCUGCUUCAUAUCACCAGUCUUUCCUACUCCUCCCAUUCCUAUUGCCUUCACCACACAUCCCUUCCCAA
This 130-nucleotide microRNA precursor is filed under the name Pinus densata. Its description in RNAcentral is "miR482a stem-loop (pde-MIR482a)". Its record names the gene pde-MIR482a. The record is from miRBase by way of RNAcentral. Lineage: Eukaryota; Viridiplantae; Streptophyta; Pinopsida; Pinales; Pinaceae.